UACGUAGGGGGCAAGCGUUGUCCGGAUUUAUUGGGCGUAAAGAGCGUGUAGGCGGCCAGACAGGUCCGUUGUGAAAACUCGAGGCUCAACCUCGAGAUGUCGAUGGAAACCGUCUGGCUAGAGUCCGGAAUAGGAGUGUGGAAUUCCUGGUGUAGCGGUGAAAUGCGCAGAUAUCAGGAAGAACACCUAUGGCGAAGGCAGCACUCUGGGACGGUACUGACGCUGAGACGCGAAAGCGUGGGGAGCGAACAGG
Molecule: ribosomal RNA, 253 nt
Filed under: uncultured bacterium
Lineage: Bacteria
Description: partial 16S ribosomal RNA
Rfam family: Bacterial small subunit ribosomal RNA
Source: RNAcentral